Long non-coding RNA from Pyrus x bretschneideri (Chinese white pear), 951 nucleotides. RefSeq lists it as uncharacterized. The transcript has 4 exons. The record is from RefSeq and is a predicted model, not a curated record. Lineage: Eukaryota; Viridiplantae; Streptophyta; Magnoliopsida; Rosales; Rosaceae.
UUUGUUUCCAGAUGAAACUCUCCGGUUCACUCUCUCAGAACUGCGAACCACAACAUCCUCCUCCGUUCGACGGCAUCUCCUCCCUUCUCCUCCGUUGGACAACUUCUCCCCCUCCAGGCUCCUCCCUCAUUCCUUCUCCUCCGCUCCUUCUCCUGGGUAUUUUUUGAUCUCUAUAUUUCCUCAGAUCCCUCUUGCCUUUACCAAUUAUCGCCUAACGAGUUGACCAUGUGUUUUCAAUUUUGCAACCAAACCCAUGUCUGAAAAGAAAAGAGCUGCAGAUUACGGUGGCUCAAUUAUCUCCUCCCCGAUGUCCGUCGUGCCAACAUCACCUUUGAAGAACAGGUUCUGAAUCUUGAGCUUCACCCUCGCUGGGGUAACAGGAUGAUUUGGAGUCAGAAAAAAAAAUCCCUAAUUUUCUCUGCUUCUUGAGAUCGACGUGGCUUCCUCGAGGAUUUUCACUGAGAUUUCUCGCUUCAAAUCGCAAUGCAUUGAUGGAUACUCUAUAAAAAAGGAGCAAUUUUGGAUGAUGAGAACAGAGGAGUUGCCACAAUGCUUGAGGUCCCCAACCCCAAGAUUGGAGCUGCUUCAACUUGAAAAGGGUUAAAGUAGCUGUAGCACCUUAGAAUUUUAGAGGUGAUCCGAUCGGAGGUCGUUUGCAGAUAAUGAUUCUCAAUUUCUCAAGUACACCAGUAAAGGCUCUUUAUCUUCAUUUCUCAUUGACAUUUGUUUUUCCUUGAUAACAUAGUUGACAGUUCUUUUAGCCUGUUAUUAUAUAAUUACUGUUAACAAUGACUUUAGAGAGAGAGAGAGAGAGAAAGAAAGAGAGAGAGAGGGAUGGAUAUACCAAAUGAUGCAUGUUGAAGGAGUACUCGAACAACAUUAUUGGAAUUGUAUAACAAUACUUGCCAUUAAUUUGUAAGGAAUCAGUUGACAGUGUGGGGUUCAUAGCUU